RNAcentral lists this long non-coding RNA (443 nucleotides) under Gallus gallus (chicken). The record is from RNAcentral. Lineage: Eukaryota; Metazoa; Chordata; Aves; Galliformes; Phasianidae.
GCCACUAAGAGCAAGUAAAUUAUGUUGAUACAAUUGGUAAACAUAUACAUUCGCUAGAACCUCCCACAAUCCCACAGAGCUAAGGGAAACAUUAAGGAUGUUACAGGAUUAAUGCUUUCAUUCUAUAAUGUGGAUAUAUGGCUUUCAUACAAGUUUUAAAAAAUUGAAAAGGUAACACACUACUAGCUUACAAAAUCAAUAUACAAACUGGAAAAAAAAUAAAAGAAAAAAGAAAAGGAACAGCAUAAAGAACAUAUUUCAUGAGAAGAUAUAUAGAACUGGUUUAAUAGAUAUAUACAGAAUUAGAAAUCCAUUGAACAUGAUACUCAGGCUUUAAUUUGUUAUUUUCACUUUCAUUUCUUCUCUUACUUAGCACCCAAACCACAGGUAUCAAGAGGAUUUCUGUUGUUUUUUUUUUUUUUUUUUUUUUUUUUUUUUUUAAA